CUGCUAUGGACAAAGAGAUAGCUUGUUGCUGCUGUUCUUCUAUUAGUCAGGAGCAGUCCUUUGCUCAUCCUAGCCUGAUGCCUGGCUUGGUGGCCAAAGUUUUGUUAUGCCUAGGACACAUAA
This is a small nucleolar RNA of Rattus norvegicus (Norway rat), 123 nucleotides long. Ensembl annotates it as small nucleolar RNA SNORA48. The record is from Ensembl. NCBI's taxonomy places the organism in Eukaryota, Metazoa, Chordata, Mammalia, Rodentia, Muridae.